GUGGCAAUGACGGGUAACGGGGAAUUAGGGUUCGAUUCCGGAGAGGGAGCCUGAGAAACGGCUACCACAUCUAAGGAAGGCAGCAGGCGCGCAAAUUACCCAAUCCUAAUACAGGGAGGUAGUGACAAGAAAUAACAAUACAGGACUUUUUUAGUUUUGUAAUUGGAAUGAGUUAAGUAUAAACCCCUUUACAAGUAUCAAUUGGAGGGCAAGUCUGGUGCCAGCAGCCGCGGUAAUUCCAGCUCCAAUAGCGUAUAUUAAAGUUGUUGCAGUUAAAAAGCUCGUAGUUGGAUUUCUGUUAAUAAUUUAUAUAUAAUAUUUUUAAUAUUUAUAUAAUAUUAACAUAAUUCAUAUUACUAUAAUUUUUAUUAGUAUAUGAAAUUUUACUUUGAGAAAAUUAGAGUGCUUAAAGCAGGCAUAUGCCUUGAAUACUCCAGCAUGGAAUAAUAUAAAAGAUUUUUAUCUUUUUUAUUGGUUCUAAGAUAAAAAUAACGAUUA
RNAcentral lists this ribosomal RNA (498 nucleotides) under Cryptosporidium suis. RNAcentral describes it as "SSU rRNA". It matches the Rfam family "Eukaryotic small subunit ribosomal RNA", at positions 346 to 871 of the family's 1831-position model. Lineage: Eukaryota; Apicomplexa; Conoidasida; Eucoccidiorida; Cryptosporidiidae. The record is from RNAcentral.